This 729-nucleotide ribosomal RNA is filed under the name Triticum aestivum (bread wheat). Its description in RNAcentral is "partial small subunit ribosomal RNA". The record is from RNAcentral. Lineage: Eukaryota; Viridiplantae; Streptophyta; Magnoliopsida; Poales; Poaceae.
AUGCCACCUUCCGUGCACGACACGGAAGGCCUGCCGUUCAUCAAGCAUGGUUGUGUCUUCAGUGCGCACCACCGGAUGAACGACAUCCUGGGACACACUAUCCCUGAUUUAUAUCGCUUCAGCUUGGAUGAGUCUCCAUCGUGUGGAACCGGACUAGAAAGCUGCGACAAUGAUUCCCGUUGCCCACCGCUAUGGAUCGUGCCAUCCAUGAAGAACACCUGUGACUGGAACCUGGAGGAGGACAUUAGACGCAAAUGCGCUAGCUUUCAUGAUUCCAGGACCUGGAAUCAUACCAGCCGAUGGUCGAAGAAGGAUUGGCCGGUGUUGCCGGCUGGCGUCAAGUUCGAUCACACGGAUCAGGAGCUGAUCGAGCACCUUCAGGCCAAAGUGAGUGCUGACAGCGCAAGAUCUCACCCUCUCAUCGAUUUGUUCAUACCAACCAUCGACAGCGAGCACGACAUAUGCUACACCCAACCUGAGAAACUUCCAGGUAUCACACUCAGUGGCCUACGGAAGCAUUUCUUCCAGCGCAAUUCCAGGGCGUUUAAAAGGGGCACGUGGACGCGUUGCAAGAUACAGUCGGAGUGCGGCAUGCACGUGAUGUGGCACAAGACCGGCAAUACCUUGUCGAUGAUGGUCAACGGCCGGCAGACGGGCAGCAAAAAGGUCCAGGUGAUGCACACCAAUAAGAACUUUCACCAGCAGAAGACCAACUGGGUGAUGCACUAG